AUGCGGUCACACCAUUGCCCAAACAGGAUCAUGUUUCCCUUGCCUUUUCUUGGAUUGGCUCUUGUGCUGCUGAUAUCCCUGGUCCCUCCGACCAGCUCCUGCACGGAGCAGGAAAAGAGCUCCCUCCUCCAGCUCCUUGCUGGGUUCUCGCAGGACGGCGGCCUCGCGGCGUCUUGGCGGAAGGAUACGGACUGCUGCACUUGGGAAGGGAUCACCUGCAGCCCUAACAGGACGGUCAGUGAUGUUUUGUUGGCCUCUCGAGGUAUUGAGGGGUCCAUCUCGCAGUUCCUUGGAAAUCUCACCGGCUUGUUGCGCCUCAACCUGUCGUGCAACUCACUAUCCGGUGGCUUGCCGCUAGAAUUAGUGUCAUCCAGCAGCAUCAUUGUCCUUGACGUCAGUUUCAACCGCCUGACAGGAGGACUGAGCGAGCUGCCAUCUUCAACCCCCGCACGGCCUCUGCAGGUAGUGAACGUCUCAAGCAACUUGUUUACAGGAAGGUUUCCAUCCACAUGGGAGGUGAUGAAGAGCCUGGUCGCGCUCAAUGCCAAGAACAAUAGUUUUACUGGGCAGCUACCAACUAUACUAUGUCUCAGCGCACCAUCUUUUACUGUGCUUGAACUCAGUUUUAACGAAUUCAGUGGAAACAUUCCUCCUGGACUCGGUAAUUGCUCCAUGCUGAAAUUGCUCAGCGCUGGCUACAACAACCUCAGUGGGACUCUUCCAGACGACGUCUUCAAAGUCACCUCGUUAGAGCACCUCUCUUUACCUAACAAUUGGUUAGAAGGAGCACUCAAUGGCAUCAUCAAGCUCAAAAAUCUGGUCAGCCUUGAUCUUGGGGGCAACGAGCUUAGCGGCAAUAUUCCAGAAUCCAUAGGUGAGCUGAAGAGUUUGGAGGAGCUGCAUUUGGAACAAAACCACAUGUCAGGGGAGCUGCCAUCAGCUCUGAGCAACUGCACACAACUCAUAACAAUUAGCUUAAAGGGCAACCAAUUCCGUGGAGAACUUACCAAGGUCAACUUCUCAAACCUGCCCAAUCUAGAAAAAAUAGAUCUUCUGCACAAUAACUUCAUCGGCAACAUUCCAGAAAGCUUAUACUUGUGCAGCAAACUGACUGCACUACGGCUCUCUGGCAAUCAUUUACAUGGCCAAUUGUCAGAAAAGAUAGGCAAUCUGAAGUCUCUCUCGUUUCUAUCAGUUGCUAACCUCUCCCUUACGAAUAUCACAAGAACACUUCAGAUCCUUGGGAGUUCCAGGAGCCUGACCAACCUUUUUAUUGGGUCCAACUUCCUGCAUGAGGCUAUCCCAGAGGACGACAGCAUUGAUGGUUUUGAGAAUCUUCAGGUUCUUUCUAUGAGUGAUUGUUCAUUGUCUGGAACAAUACCUGGUUGGUUAUCCAAGCUCACAAAUUAA
RNAcentral lists this ribosomal RNA (1410 nucleotides) under Triticum aestivum (bread wheat). RNAcentral describes it as "partial small subunit ribosomal RNA". Lineage: Eukaryota; Viridiplantae; Streptophyta; Magnoliopsida; Poales; Poaceae. The record is from RNAcentral.